CCCUUAGAUGUCCUGGGCCGCACGCGCGUUACACUGAUGCAUUCAACGAGCUGAUAACCUUGGCCGAGAGGCCUGGGCAAUCUUGUUAACGUGCAUCGUGAUAGGGAUAGAUUAUUGAAAUUAUUAAUCUUGAACGAGGAAUUCCUAGUAAACGCAGAUCAUCAAUCUGCAUUGAUUACGUCCCUGCCCUUUGUACACACCGCCCGUCGCACCUACCGAUUGGAUGGUCCGGUGAAGCCUCGGGAUUGUGGUUCUUGCCGCUUUAUUGUGGCGUGACCGCGAGAACUUGUCUAAACCUUAUCAUCUAGAGGAAGGUGAAGUCGUAACA
This 328-nucleotide ribosomal RNA is filed under the name uncultured eukaryote. RNAcentral describes it as "partial 18S ribosomal RNA". It matches the Rfam family "Eukaryotic small subunit ribosomal RNA", at positions 1470 to 1796 of the family's 1831-position model. The record is from RNAcentral.